UACAGAGGCCCCAAGCGUUACUGAGAAUCACUGGGCUUAAAGGGUGCGUAGGUGGCGCGUUAAGUCCGUUGUGAAAUCCCUUGGCUCAACCAAGGAAAUGCUUCGGAUACUGGCGUGCUUGAGGCUAGUAGGGGUCACUGGAACUGACGGUGGAGCGGUGAAAUGCGUAGAUAUCGUCAGGAACGCCGAUGGUGAAGACAGGUGACUGGGCUAGUUCUGACACUGAGGCACGAAAGCGUGGGGAGCGAACGGG
Molecule: ribosomal RNA, 253 nt
Filed under: uncultured bacterium
Lineage: Bacteria
Description: partial 16S ribosomal RNA
Rfam family: Bacterial small subunit ribosomal RNA
Source: RNAcentral